CCUACGGGUGGCAGCAGUGGGGAAUAUUGGGCAAUGGGCGCAAGCCUGACCCAGCAACGCCGCGUGAAGGAAGAAGGCUUUCGGGUUGUAAACUUCUUUUCUCAGGGACGAAGAAAGUGGCGGUACCUGAGGAAUAAGCCACGGCUAACUACGUGCCAGCCGCCGCGGUAAUACGUAGGUGGCAGGCGUUAACCGGAUAUAUGGGGGGUAAAGGGCGUGGAGGCGGGUGCGCAAGUCAGAUGUGAAAACUCUGGGCUCAACCCUGAGCCUGCAUUUGAAACUGUGUUGCUUGAGUGCUGGAGAGGCGAGCGGAAUUCCGUGUGUAGCGGUGAAAUGCGUAGAUAUACGGAGGAACACCAGUGGCGAAGGCGGAUUGCUGGACAGUAACUGACGCUGAGGCGCGAAAGCGUGGGGAGCAAACAGGAUUAGAUACCCCGGUAGUC
RNAcentral lists this ribosomal RNA (443 nucleotides) under uncultured bacterium. RNAcentral's name for it is "partial 16S ribosomal RNA". It matches the Rfam family "Bacterial small subunit ribosomal RNA", at positions 338 to 795 of the family's 1533-position model. The record is from RNAcentral.